Molecule: ribosomal RNA, 420 nt
Filed under: uncultured bacterium
Lineage: Bacteria
Description: bacterial SSU rRNA
Rfam family: Bacterial small subunit ribosomal RNA
Source: RNAcentral
AUUUUGGGCAAUGGGGGCAACCCUGAUCCAGCAAUGCCGCGUGAGUGAAGAAGGCCUUCGGGUUGUAAAGCUCUUUUGUCAGGGAAGAAACGGUCCGGGCUAAUAUCCUCGGCUAAUGACGGUACCUGAUGAAUAAGUCACGGCUAACUACGUGCCAGCAGCCGCGGUAAUACGUAGGUGACCAGCGUUGUCCGGAUUUACUGGGCGUAAAGAGCGCGCAGGCGGUCGUUCAAGUCGAGUGUGAAAGCCCCCGGCUCAACUGGGGAGGGUCACUCGAUACUGAUCGACUUGAAGGCAGGAGAGGGAAGCGGAAUUCCCGGUGUAGUGGUGAAAUGCGUAGAUAUCGGGAGGAACACCAGUGGCGAAGGCGGCUUCCUGGCCUGUUCUUGACGCUGAGGCGCGAAAGCUAGGGGAGCAAAC